GCCGGAUCCGUGUGCGCAGGGGAAGUCGCGUGCUGCAAGUUAAGAGUCCCAGCACUACUGUCGAUGCGGAGGUCACGGCCGCCACCGCCGACCCCGGCGAGGGCACCAGCGCGCGCGAGCGGGCCGCCGGCGAUGGACAUUGAGGAGAGCUGGCUCGUUAUCGACGAUGCAGUCGACCACCUGCUGCACCGCGCUGGCGAGCACAGAGCUGUGUUUCAGCCAUCCCCAGUACCCAUGGCCGCAAGUUCGAGCUGGCAUGCUCUACGUGGAGAAUGAGACGGUUGUCGAGUUCAAAGAGCUUACCUCGGCGGUCGACUUAAGUGACCAGCUGCCGGGACAGAGACUGACCGGCAGAGUUCUGUUGGUGCCUCAUACUUUUCUCUGUUUGUUUCUGUUUUCUGUUCCGCAAGUUUUUGCCAUUGUAACUAGUUGCAGUUGAAUUAGCUUGUUGCAGUUCGUUUAUAUUUUGCUGCAGGGUGUCCCUGAACCGUAAAGAGACGUGAAACGUUGGACGCUAAUGAAUGAGAUACAAGGUACUUUGAUAUGUAAAGCACAGGCAGAGCUUUGGAGUCGGAAAUGUAUCAGUUAACCAAACAAUUGAAACUGUGUUUGCGUAUUAAAUGACUAUUGAAACUGCGUCUUUUACAUGCUGGUUGCACGACCUUUCUAUAGAAUACGAAAUAACAUAAUCGCACAUAAGACUGUGAAAUAGAAGCUGCUUGGUAUAAUAGGUCCGUCUGCUCCUUAUGAUGGGUUCCUAUAGCUGGUCUGGUCUUGCAACCAGCUAUGAUCAUUGAGCGUUACCGUCCAUAAUAGGUUGUCCAGCUCGCUUGUUCGUAUGUGCAUGAAAUACAGAUUUAACUUUGCUGUUCUCUUGACUUGUCAUUCGUUCUAAACAGUACAAAAUGAGCGCAAGGUUAUUAUUUUGUCAAUUUUAUGUCGCCCAUGGCAUGACAAUAGGUAUCCACGCACUUGUCGCUUUACAGAACAUUUGAUGUCUUGUUGAUUGUUCCUAUAAAACGACCACGUUUCUGUGUUCGGUGUCAUUGCUCGGUGUUAGUAUUACGGAUAGUAUGUAUAUGGUCUUGUUGGAUGUUCUUCCUCGUCUUGCAUGCUAUUUUGCACACGAAAUAACACGCAAAAUGGGAAUGAAAAUCUGAUAAGUCGCGUUAUCCGUAAUAUUAACAGCGGAAAAUCUACUCAUCUCCUGCCGGUCAACCUUACCUAUGACUGUUGAGUAGGUUGACUGGUAAGAGGUGAGUAGAUUGACCGGUCGCUGGCGCAGUCAAUAAGUGGUGUCCAUAAAACCGCCCAUCCAUUAGUAAAUUAACUCACAGAAUGAGAGUAACGGAAAUGAGUAACCAGCGAUACAUGAGUUUUCACAAUGAGUAAGGUGAGUAGAUUGACCGGUCGCUGGCGCAGUCAAAUAGGUGGUGUCCAUAAAACCGCCCAUCCAUGAGUAAAUUAACUCACAGAAUGAGAGUAACGGAAAUGAGUAACCAGCGAUACAUGAGUUUUCACAAUGAGUUAACUCAUCGAGCGUGGGUAAAUAUGCAUGAGUAAGCGCACGUUUCAUCGGAAAGUUGACCGGCAAGUGAUGAGUUGAUUAACCGGUCGCUGGGGCCGUCAAAUAGGUGGUGUCCAUAUAACCGCUCUUCCGUGAGUUUACUCACGAGAGAAGAGUAGAUUUGUUUUCAGUGUAUAAACACACACCUAUAGGCAGCUUUUACUGUCCAAAUGCCUAACAUCAAACUCAGAAAACAUUUAAUUUAAUUCUAGUAUCAAAAAAGAAAAACAUAAAAUAAA
RNAcentral lists this long non-coding RNA (1806 nucleotides) under Amphibalanus amphitrite. RNAcentral describes it as "uncharacterized LOC122385392". The record is from RNAcentral. Lineage: Eukaryota; Metazoa; Arthropoda; Thecostraca; Balanomorpha; Balanidae.